Molecule: transfer RNA, 75 nt
Filed under: Acidobacteriota bacterium
Lineage: Bacteria; Pseudomonadati; Acidobacteriota
Also listed under: 1 other name
Description: tRNA-Glu
Rfam family: tRNA
About the family: Transfer RNA (tRNA) molecules are approximately 80 nucleotides in length. Their secondary structure includes four short double-helical elements and three loops (D, anti-codon, and T loops). Further hydrogen bonds mediate the characteristic L-shaped molecular structure. tRNAs have two regions of fundamental functional importance: the anti-codon, which is responsible for specific mRNA codon recognition, and the 3' end, to which the tRNAs corresponding amino acid is attached (by aminoacyl-tRNA synthetases). tRNAs cope with the degeneracy of the genetic code in two manners: having more than one tRNA (with a specific anti-codon) for a particular amino acid; and 'wobble' base-pairing, i.e. permitting non-standard base-pairing at the 3rd anti-codon position.
Source: RNAcentral
GCCGCUAUCGUCUAGGGGUUAGGACAGGUGGUUCUCAGCCAUCAGACCGGGGUUCGAUUCCCCGUAGCGGUACCA